GUGUGUGCCGGUGUGUGCCUGUGUGUGCCUGUGUGUGUGUUUGGAGUCUGUGCCUUUGCCAGCCACAUGGUGCUUUUCACCUCCCAGAGCGAGUGUGUGUUUCCCUAGUGCGGUACAAAAGGACGUCAGAGAUUCCAGGUUGAGCUCCGUCGGGACACAGAGACCCUGAGCCGCUGGGAGGGAGGUGGUGCCGCACGGCACCAGUAACAGAACUGACUCACUGGACUCAGCUGGACUUUCAGCUGGCCUUGGUUACACUUUCAUUCUCUAAAUCGAGUUACAAAAUACAGAAGCACUGUUAUUUUUUGUUUUGUCCAUGCAGGUGGGUGUAAAGUGGGUAGGGCUUGUAGGAUGCCUGCUGUGGGAGGGGGCACCCGUGUAGUCCUCUCUUCGGUCCGAAUGUGGCAUUUGAUGUAUGAUGCUGCUUAAAGUUGACAUGUCUCCAUAUGUAUCUCUCCUUGUCAUGCACUAUUAGAUUGUCCACUCCGGCCAAGUAUUAUUCUGAGUUUCUGCUCCUCACCUGUCAGUUUUUGAGCCAGUAUUUUUCUGUUUUCUAACACAUCAGGUCUAGCUCCAGUGAGUGUGUAGUUGUGAUGUAGGGCAUUUGUUUGGCUGUUGGUGACUAUUAAGGUGAUAAAUGUUGGGAAGAUUUUCUUCUUGAUUUCUUUUUGAACAGCGCCAACUCCAUAACUGCACCUCUUCUCCCCAGCAUGUUAGUAAUUAAAGCUGUGAACUGAGAUCACUUGUAAACAUCUCGGUAAUGGGAUUAGAAAUUUGUAAUUUGUGACUUUCUAUAGACAAAGAUUGUUUGUGGUGAGCUGCAUGAUUUUAGAGCUUGCUUAAGUCCUGAGAAUGAAGUCUGUCUUCGGUCCAUUCUCUAAACUGGAUUUGCACAAAAGAGAUCUGAUCUGAUCUGAACUCCGACAUGGUGUUUCGGAGCCGCUUAGAGAAUAUCUGUCAUGUUAAUGAGGCUGCAUCUUCCCAUUUAUUCUGAGUGAACAAUGGAAAGACAUUUGUACAGAAGUUAAUGGAGAAUAAUACACUAACUCUCAAACAUUUUAAUGCCAUGAUCGGUACUGUAACAAAGCCCUCCAUUUUAUAUCAUCUUUGCUUUUAUUGGGAAGAAUUGGAAAGAAAAGGAUUGAGGUGAAUGAAAUGGUUGUGGACCUUGUCAAGAUAACUGUAUUCUGUGAUACAAAGUGUUGAGCAUUGAAAGAAGACCAUUACAAAUCCAAGAGCACUCAUUGCUCAGACGAUCAGCUGAAAUCCAGGUAGGCCAAGUGCUAAGAAGUUUAGCAUUAUUACUUUCUUGUAACAAUUUGCUCCUUGGCUGAAGCAGAGGAGUGGUGUAUCAACAGUACAAUUAUUUGUAGCCUCUCUACAAGCAUUUUAUGUCAUGCAGUCUUUGAUUGCAGUGUGCUCUAUCAGUGUUAAGGAUAUAAAGCAAGUCAAAAUGAAUGGCCCACUUUUUUUCGUCCAAUCUGUCAGGCCGUCCGAUCGUUCAGACAUCAGUAGUGGUUAUUGUAAAGGGCCAGAAGAGAAACUUACAGUAGUGACUAGGCCUGGAGGAAGAAAAUACCAGCAAUAAUAAUAACUAAUGAUUAGAAUGGUGAAGACAAUGUUCAUGAUGUUGAUGACAAUAGAAAUAUAAACCAAAUGUUGGAAAUCUGUAGCUGAAAUUACGUAGAAGUGAGGAAUUGACACCUAUUUUAAUGCAAUACAGAUUUUUUUUCUGGACGUUUUUAAUGUGAAAUGUACAAUGCACCAGUUUGUUGGUGUCCACUCUCACCACUCUGUGAAAUAGACAUCUGUCUAUGACCACUACUAAUGAUGGAAAGGUAGCGAUCAGAGUUGGAGAUCUACUUGAAAGUGUUGCUGUUCAAUAAAUUGGAGAACAGAGAGAAGUCUUCGCUUGUAAUUUGUUUGUCACCUAUAACACUUGGAA
Molecule: long non-coding RNA, 1945 nt
Organism: Clupea harengus (Atlantic herring)
Lineage: Eukaryota; Metazoa; Chordata; Actinopteri; Clupeiformes; Clupeidae
Source: Ensembl